Molecule: ribosomal RNA, 404 nt
Filed under: uncultured bacterium
Lineage: Bacteria
Description: partial 16S ribosomal RNA
Rfam family: Bacterial small subunit ribosomal RNA
Source: RNAcentral
GAUGAACGCUGACAGAAUGCUUAACACAUGCAAGUCACCUGUGGCGGACGGGUGAGUAACGCGUAAAGAACUUGCCUCACGGUUAGGGCCAACAUUUGGAAACGAAUGCUAAUAACUGAUACGGUGAGAGAGCUUUGCGUCCCAUUAGCUAGUUGGAGAGGUAACGGCUCACGAAGGAGAUGAUGGGUAGCCGGCCUGAGAGGGUGUUCGGCCACAAGGGGACUGAGACACUGCCCUUAAUACGACGGGAGGAAGCAGUGGGGAAUAUUGGACAAUGGACCAAAGUCUGAUCCAGCAAUUCUGUGUGCACGAUGAAGUUUUCGGAAUGUAAAGUGCUUUCAGUUGGGAAGCGGUACCAACAGAAGAAAUGACGGCUAAAUACGUGCCAGCAGCCGCGAUAAUAG